AGGACGAACGCUGGCGGCGCGCUUAACACAUGCAAGUCGAGCGGAAAGGCCCUUCGGGGUACUCGAGCGGCGAACGGGUGAGUAACACGUGAGCAACCUGCCCUUAGCUCCGGGAUAGGCUCCGGGAAACCGGAAUUAAUACCGGAUACAACCACGGCCGACAUCUGCUGUGGUGGAAAGGAUUCCGGCUAAGGAUGGGCUCGCGGCCUAUCAGCUAGUUGGUGGAGUAACGGCCCACCAAGGCGACGACGGGUA
Molecule: ribosomal RNA, 255 nt
Filed under: uncultured bacterium
Lineage: Bacteria
Description: partial small subunit ribosomal RNA
Rfam family: Bacterial small subunit ribosomal RNA
Source: RNAcentral